CCCUAGUGACCGAUAGUGAACCAGUACCGUGAGGGAAAGGUGAAAAGCACCCCGGAAGGGGAGUGAAACAGUUCCUGAAACCGUGUGCCUACAAGUAGUUAGAGCCCGUUAAUGGGUGAUAGCGUGCCUUUUGUAGAAUGAACCGGCGAGUUACGAUUUGUUGCAAGGUUAAGCGGAAAAAGCGGAGCCGUAGCGAAAGCGAGUCUGAAUAGGGCGCAUAAGUAACAGGUCGUAGACCCGAAACCAGGUGAUCUACCCAUGUCCAGGAUGAAGGUAAGGUAAUACUUACUGGAGGUCCGAACCCACGCACGUUGAAAAGUGCGGGGAUGAGGUGUGGGUAGCGGAGAAAUUCCAAUCGAACUUGGAGAUAGCUGGUUCUCUCCGAAAUAGCUUUAGGGCUAGCCUCGAGGUAAAGAGUCAUGGAGGUAGAGCACUGUUUGGACUAGGGGCCCUUCUCGGGUUACCGAAUUCAGAUAAACUCCGAAUGCCAUGUACUUAUACUCGGGAGUCAGACUGCGAGUGAUAAGAUCCGUAGUCGAAAGGGAAACAGCCCAGACCACCAGUUAAGGUCCCCAAAUAUAUGUUAAGUGGAAAAGGAUGUGGGGUUGCUUAGACAACCAGGAUGUUGGCUUAGAAGCAGCCACCAUUGAAAGAGUGCGUAAUAGCUCACUGGUCGAGUGACCCCGCGCCGAAAAUGUACCGGGGCUAAACAUAUUACCGAAACUGUGGAUGAACCUCUUUAGAGGUUCGUGGUAGGAGAGCGUUCUAAGGGCGGUGAAGUCAGACCGGAAGGACUGGUGGAGCGCUUAGAAGUGAGAAUGCCGGUAUGAGUAGCGAAAGAAGGGUGAGAAUCCCUUCCACCGAAUAUCUAAGGUUUCCUGAGGAAGGCUCGUCCGCUCAGGGUUAGUCGGGACCUAAGCCGAGGCCGAUAGGCGUAGGCGAUGGACAACAGGUAGAGAUUCCUGUACCAGUGCUAAUUGUUUAACCGAUGGGGUGACACAGAAGGAUAGGGAAUCGCACGAAUGGAAAUGUGCGUCCAAGCAGUGAGUGUGAGAAGUAGGCAAAUCCGCUUCUCGCGAAGCAUGAGCUGUGAUGGGGAAGGAAAUUAAGUACGGAAGUUCCUGAUUUCACGCUGUCAAGAAAAGCCUCUAGGAAGAGUAGUACUGCCCGUACCGCAAACCGACACAGGUAGAUGAGGAGAGAAUCCUAAGGUGAGCGAGAGAACUCUCGUUAAGGAACUCGGCAAAAUGACCCCGUAACUUCGGGAGAAGGGGUGCUCUAUUAGGGUGCAAGCCCGAGAGAGCCGCAGUGAAUAGGCCCAGGCGACUGUUUAGCAAAAACACAGGUCUCUGCAAAACCGUAAGGUGACGUAUAGGGGCUGACGCCUGCCCGGUGCUGGAAGGUUAAGAGGAGUGCUUAGCUUCGGCGAAGGUACGAAUUGAAGCCCCAGUAAACGGCGGCCGUAACUAUAACGGUCCUAAGGUAGCGAAAUUCCUUGUCGGGUAAGUUCCGACCCGCACGAAAGGCGCAACGAUCUGGGCACUGUCUCAACGAGAGACUCGGUGAAAUUAUAGUACCUGUGAAGAUGCAGGUUACCCGCGACAGGACGGAAAGACCCCGUGGAGCUUUACUGCAACCUGAUAUGGAAUGUUUGUACCGCUUGUACAGGAUAGGUAGGAGCCGAAGAGACGUGUGCGCUAGCAUACGAGGAGGCAAUGGUGGGAUACUACCCUGGCUGUAUGACCAUUCUAACCCGCCACGCUUAGCGCGUGGGGAGACAGUGUCAGGUGGGCAGUUUGACUGGGGCGGUCGCCUCCUAAAGAGUAACGGAGGCGCCCAAAGGUUCCCUCAGAAUGGAUGGAAAUCAUUCGCAGAGUGUAAAGGCACAAGGGAGCUUGACUGCGAGACUGACAAGUCGAGCAGGGACGAAAGUCGGGCUUAGUGAUCCGGUGGUUCCGCAUGGAAGGGCCAUCGCUCAACGGAUAAAAGCUACCCCGGGGAUAACAGGCUUAUCUCCCCCAAGAGUCCACAUCGACGGGGAGGUUUGGCACCUCGAUGUCGGCUCGUCGCAUCCUGGGGCUGUAGUCGGUCCCAAGGGUUGGGCUGUUCGCCCAUUAAAGCGGCACGCGAGCUGGGUUCAGAACGUCGUGAGACAGUUCGGUCCCUAUCCGUCGCGGGCGCAGGAAAUUUGAGAGGAGCUGUCCUUAGUACGAGAGGACCGGGAUGGACACACCGCUGGUGUACCAGUUGUUCCGCCAGGAGCAUCGCUGGGUAGCUAUGUGUGGCAGGGAUAAACGCUGAAAGCAUCUAAGCGUGAAGCCCCCCUCAAGAUGAGAUUUCCCAUUUCUUCGGAAAGUAAGAUCCCUGAAAGAUGAUCAGGUAGAUAGGUUUGGAGUGGAAGUGUAGCGAUACAUGGAGCGGACAAAUACUAAUCGAUCGAGGACUUAACCAAAA
Molecule: ribosomal RNA, 2454 nt
Filed under: Listeria monocytogenes
Lineage: Bacteria; Bacillati; Bacillota; Bacilli; Caryophanales; Listeriaceae
Description: bacterial LSU rRNA
Rfam family: Bacterial large subunit ribosomal RNA
Source: RNAcentral